AGGAGAAUGAGCGCGGCUGCCUGGGGAAGGGAGGCUGCGGGGUGUGGACUAGAGCGCGGCGCUCCACACCCCCGAGUCCCUGUCUGCCGGGGCAGGGCGGCGGGACGGGGAACGGGGCUGGCUGCGGGCAGGGCCCUGCCCCCCUGCCGCUCCGCCGCCGUUGGCCAUAGGUAGGAUUUACAUGGGUGCUCCCCGCCGCUUCCCGGUUAAUGGGCAGCUAAUUUUUCGAUCUACAUGAUAUUGAAGAUACUUAAAGCAAACUGCUUAAUAUGCUGGGCUGACAGGCUCAUUAAGCUGAAUAGUAGGAUUGCUGUCAUAUGCACUUCAGGCACUUACAAAAAGAAUCAUACAUAGUCUUUGAAGGAGUCAGGAAGAAUUGAACCUGCUUAAGUGUCACCCCCUAAAGAAAAAAGUCACAAAAUGUAAGUCACCAAAUCUAACUAUGGGGAAAAUGUUGCUCUUUUGUAUUCACAAAAUUACACAAAUUAUAUAGAGUAUAAAUACAGGGUAUAAAAUAGCAAAUAUUUUAUCAGAAUCAGAUCUCUACACUAAAAUCUAGUGUUAGGGUACAACAGCAGCUGAUAAAACCAUUCUGUUUUCACUUGGGAAGAGUAAUUCUAACGUCUGUUCA
Long non-coding RNA from Pezoporus occidentalis (night parrot), 631 nucleotides. RefSeq lists it as uncharacterized. The transcript has 3 exons. Lineage: Eukaryota; Metazoa; Chordata; Aves; Psittaciformes; Psittacidae. The record is from RefSeq and is a predicted model, not a curated record.